GGCAGACUCAGAAUUUCCUACAAAAUCUCU
RNAcentral lists this non-coding RNA (30 nucleotides) under Mus musculus (house mouse). The record is from RNAcentral. Lineage: Eukaryota; Metazoa; Chordata; Mammalia; Rodentia; Muridae.